GACAGAGGGUGCAAACGUUGUUCGGAAUUACUGGGCGUAAAGCGCGUGUAGGCGGCUUUCUAAGUCAGGGGUGAAAUCCUGGAGCUCAACUCCAGAACUGCCUUUGAUACUGGAGAGCUUGAGUCCGGAAGAGGUGAGUGGAACUCCGAGUGUAGAGGUGAAAUUCGUAGAUAUUCGGAAGAACACCAGUGGCGAAGGCGGCUCACUGGUCCGGUACUGACGCUGAUGUGCGAAAGCGUGGGGAGCAAACAGG
RNAcentral lists this ribosomal RNA (253 nucleotides) under uncultured bacterium. Its description in RNAcentral is "partial 16S ribosomal RNA". It matches the Rfam family "Bacterial small subunit ribosomal RNA", at positions 524 to 776 of the family's 1533-position model. The record is from RNAcentral.